AUGCAAUGUACUAUGCAAAGAAAUACUCCUGCAAGGGAAAAGAGCACGCACCUACGCACGAACGAAAACCAUCGAGUCCCUUGCACAGCGACAUCGAUCGACAAUCUUACGCGCACGCGUAGCUCUUUGACUGCCUAUCGUCGUCGCGAGCUCGUCAUGGGGACCGCAUCGUCGUCGCCGUCGUCGUCUUCUCCUGAGCAGUUGAUCGACGGGGCCGUCAAGACUGUCGUGUGCCUCGCCGGAUGCGGGGAUGAGUUCGACGGCUUUCAGGAGGCGUGCGGGGAGGUCGACGGGUCUGCGGAGACGCAAGCGGCGUGCUUCGAGGCGGGGGAGGCGCUGCGCAAGUGCAUGCGUGCUAACGCCGCCGCGUACGAGUCCUACGUCCGCGACGCGGAUAAGAAGAAGCAGCAGGGGAAAUCGAGCCAAGCCUAG
This 432-nucleotide ribosomal RNA is filed under the name Triticum aestivum (bread wheat). Its description in RNAcentral is "partial small subunit ribosomal RNA". Lineage: Eukaryota; Viridiplantae; Streptophyta; Magnoliopsida; Poales; Poaceae. The record is from RNAcentral.